Molecule: long non-coding RNA, 274 nt
Filed under: Sinocyclocheilus anshuiensis
Lineage: Eukaryota; Metazoa; Chordata; Actinopteri; Cypriniformes; Cyprinidae
Description: lncRNA (ENSSANG00000033240.1)
Source: RNAcentral
AUCCUGUGAUCUUUUAAACCAUGAUUUAUGACGAGAUGUUCUGUCUUUAAACUGGAAAGACUGUCCAGGGAGAGUGAGAGCCUCACUGGCGAAAGCAGAAUAAUGAAAAGGCCCGGGGAAUCGGCAUGACAUAAGCGCCUUCCUCUCGAGGCGGAGGUCGGAAGACAGAAGGAGAGGAGGAAGGAGGAAGAGAGAGAGACGGGGCUCGAUAAGCGCCGCUAUCAGAACGCACCCAAACACAGCGUCCGGCUGUUCUCCCUUGUGCAGGCGGAGG